GAUGAACGCUGGCGGCGUGCCUAAUACAUGCAAGUCGAACGAAACUUCUUUAUCAUCGAGUGCUUGCACUCACCGAUAAAGGGUUGAGUGGCGAACGGGUGAGUAACAUGUGGGCAACCUGCCCAAAAGAGGGGGCUAACACUAGGAAACAGGUGCUAAUACCGCAUAACCAUAGUUACCGCAUGGUAACUAUGUAAAAGGUUGCUAUACUACCGCUGCUGGAUGGGCCCGCGGCGCAUUAGCUAGUUGGUAGGGUAAAGGCUUACCAAGGCAAUGAUGCGUAGCCGAAUUGAGAGGUUGAUCGGCCACAUUGGAACUGAGACACGGCCCAAACUCCUACGGGAGGCAGCAGUAGGGAAUCUUCCGCAAUGGGCGAAAGCCUGAUGGAGCAACGCCGCGUGGGUGAAGAAGGUCUUCGGAUCGUAAAACCCUGUUGUUAGAGAAGAAAGUGUGUGAAAGUAACUGUUCACGUUUCGACGGUAUCUAACCAGAAAGCCACGGCUAACUACGUG
RNAcentral lists this ribosomal RNA (512 nucleotides) under uncultured bacterium. RNAcentral describes it as "partial 16S ribosomal RNA". It matches the Rfam family "Bacterial small subunit ribosomal RNA", at positions 28 to 507 of the family's 1533-position model. The record is from RNAcentral.